GAAAUGCGAUAAGUCAUGUGAAUUGCAGAAUUCAGUGAAUCAUCGAAUCUUUGAACGCACCUUGCGCUCCUUGGUAUUCCUUGGAGCAUGCCUGUUUGAGUAUCAUGAAAUCUUCAAAGUAAAUCUUUUGUUAACUCAAUUGGUUUCUACUUUGGUAUUGGAGGUCUUUGCAGCUUCACACCUGCUCCUCUUUGUUCAUUAGCUGGAUCUCAGUGUUAUGCUUGGUUCCACUCGGCGUGAUAAGUUAUCUAUCGCUGAGGACACUGUAAAAGGUGGCCAAGGUAAAUGCAGAUGAACCGCUUCUAAUAGUCCAUUGACUUGGACAAUACUUUUAUGAUCUGAUCUCAAAUCAGGUAGGACUACCCGCUGAACUUAAGC
This 378-nucleotide unclassified non-coding RNA is filed under the name plant metagenome. RNAcentral's name for it is "partial contains 5.8S ribosomal RNA, internal transcribed spacer 2, and large subunit ribosomal RNA". The stretch from base 1 to 105 matches the Rfam family "5.8S ribosomal RNA", at positions 50 to 154 of the family's 154-position model. The record is from RNAcentral.